This 253-nucleotide ribosomal RNA is filed under the name uncultured bacterium. RNAcentral's name for it is "partial 16S ribosomal RNA". It matches the Rfam family "Bacterial small subunit ribosomal RNA", at positions 524 to 776 of the family's 1533-position model. The record is from RNAcentral.
UACGAAGGGGGCUAGCGUUGCUCGGAAUCACUGGGCGUAAAGCGCACGUAGGCGGCUUUUUAAGUCAGGGGUGAAAUCCUGGAGCUCAACUCCAGAACUGCCUUUGAUACUGGGAAGCUUGAGUCCGGAAGAGGUGAGUGGAACUCCGAGUGUAGAGGUGAGAUUCGUAGAUAUUCGGAAGAACACCAGUGGCGAAGGCGACUUACUGGUCCAUGACUGACGCUGAGGCUCGAAAGCGUGGGGAGCAAACAGG